Daphnia magna is the source of this 563-nucleotide long non-coding RNA. RefSeq lists it as uncharacterized. The transcript has 4 exons. NCBI's taxonomy places the organism in Eukaryota, Metazoa, Arthropoda, Branchiopoda, Diplostraca, Daphniidae. The record is from RefSeq and is a predicted model, not a curated record.
ACUUGUUGUGACGCUAUCUAUCCUCCAACAGGGAAUGAAUUUUUUCAAGUUUUUUUCUGUUAAUACAUUUUCUCUUUUUUAAAUUUGUGGAAUCAACUCGCCAUUUACUGCUCUGGAAUUGAAUCCCCUAUCAAGAUUCCAACUAAUAUCCUUACUAUAUAGUGGAUUCAUCAAAUCUGAAUGCCAACUCCAUUUAACUUCUUUAAAGCAACAAGUCAUCAUGCCGAUAUUGAAAAUGUUUUCCAUUUAUAAGCUUCUUCAGCAAUUAGUCUUCAUGGUGACAUAAAGAAAUUUACCUACAUCAGCUUCAUCUGAAAAUCAGCUUUAGUCCCCGCUCCUGAUCUGUUUAGCACAGCUGUUCAUCUCAGCCAAAUCUGCACAUCAACCGAGACAUCAACUAUACAGCCAACACUCAUCUACACUGUCCUCAGUUAUAUUAACCAUAUUAUAUUGUAUUGUAUUAUUGUUAUAUUAUUGUCCCAGUUUGUUCGAUUGAGACAUGUUGUUUUUAAAUACAGAAUAUAGCAUGGUCAGACUUGACUGAUGAUGCUUUUUCCUACAAA